GACAUGACACCUUAUCUUUCUUCUUCCAUCUUGAGAAAUCGAUUUGGCAAUAGGAUUUUCCCAUUCGAUGGAGACGAACCAGAUGCUUCAAAUGAGAUGUCAUCAGAGUUUGAGUUGUUUGCUGUUGUCACGCACACAGGUAAACUUGAUGCUGGUCACUAUGUGACCUAUUUACGCCUAAGUAAUCAAUGGUACAAGUGUGAUGAUGCUUGGGUUACUCAAGUCAAUGAGAAUAUUGUGAGGGCUGCACAAGGCUACAUGAUGUUUUAUGUACAGAAGAUGCUUUAUUACAAAGCAAGUGAGAACCGGGCAGUCUCAUGAUAUAAUGACCAGAAAUGGUGGUUGACUCUGCUGCACUGGGAAAAAGUAAUGGAUGAAGUCAUGGUGGACAAAGUCUACAUCAGUAGAUGUCAUGGCUAAUUUUAUAUGCCAAGGAAACAAAUGUUGGAAAGCUGUUCUGCCAAUCAGCGAAGCUGAAGCAUCACACUUUAUUUGAGUUCUUCAAGUCACGGUUUAUUAUACUUGGAACAUAACGUGAGCCUGAAUUUUUGAGGCACUUCAACAUUUUGGAAAAUUAAUUUUUAUGAAGGUA
RNAcentral lists this unclassified non-coding RNA (592 nucleotides) under Hevea brasiliensis (rubber tree). Lineage: Eukaryota; Viridiplantae; Streptophyta; Magnoliopsida; Malpighiales; Euphorbiaceae. The record is from RNAcentral.